RNAcentral lists this ribosomal RNA (446 nucleotides) under uncultured bacterium. RNAcentral's name for it is "partial 16S ribosomal RNA". It matches the Rfam family "Bacterial small subunit ribosomal RNA", at positions 338 to 795 of the family's 1533-position model. The record is from RNAcentral.
CCUACGGGUGGCAGCAGUGGGGAAUAUUGCACAAUGGGGGAAACCCUGAUGCAGCGACGCCGCGUGGGGGAAUGAAGGUCUUCGGAUUGUAAACCCCUGUCAUGUGGGAGCAAAUUAAAAAGAUAGUACCACAAGAGGAAGAGACGGCUAACUCUGUGCCAGCAGCCGCGGUAAUACAGAGGUCUCAAGCGUUGUUCGGAAUCACUGGGCGUAAAGCGUGCGUAGGCUGUUUGGUAAGUCGUGUGUGAAAGGCGCGGGCUCAACCCGCGAACGGCACAUGAUACUGCGAGACUAGAGUAAAGGAGGGGGAACCGGAAUUCUCGGUGUAGCAGUGAAAUGCGUAGAUAUCGAGAGGAACACCCGUGGCGAAGGCGGGUUCCUGGACAUUAACUGACGCUGAGGCACGAAGGCCAGGGGAGCGAAAGGGAUUAGAUACCCGAGUAGUC